UACGAAGGGGGCUAGCGUUGUUCGGAUUUACUGGGCGUAAAGCGCACGUAGGCGGAUCGUUAAGUCGGGGGUGAAAUCCUGGAGCUCAACUCCAGAACUGCCUUUGAUACUGAGGAUCUUGAGUUCGGGAGAGGUGAGUGGAACUGCGAGUGUAGAGGUGAAAUUCGUAGAUAUUCGCAAGAACACCAGUGGCGAAGGCGGCUCACUGGCCCGGUACUGACGCUGAGGUGCGAAAGCGUGGGGAGCAAACAGG
RNAcentral lists this ribosomal RNA (253 nucleotides) under uncultured bacterium. Its description in RNAcentral is "partial 16S ribosomal RNA". It matches the Rfam family "Bacterial small subunit ribosomal RNA", at positions 524 to 776 of the family's 1533-position model. The record is from RNAcentral.